Long non-coding RNA from Coccinella septempunctata (seven-spotted ladybird), 408 nucleotides. RefSeq lists it as uncharacterized. The transcript is spliced from 2 exons. Lineage: Eukaryota; Metazoa; Arthropoda; Insecta; Coleoptera; Coccinellidae. The record is from RefSeq and is a predicted model, not a curated record.
CAUGAAUUUGUCAGAUCAUGAAAUGUAAAGCAAUGUCAAAAAAGCAUGUAUUGGUGAGAGUUUAUUGAAAUAAGAAAGGUUCUUCAUGGAUAAGCUUCUAGAGCAAUUCGUUCAGGAGAGUUUUUAUUUGAAGUAUAUAAACAUGAGAUUUUAUACAUAGCACACAGUUCUGGGGGGCUAAGUCUUUAUAGAAGAUCAACCAGGAGGUUCUAUAUUUCAUAAGUAAUAUUCAUUUUCUGAUACUGCUCAAUUUUGUUUCGAAAGAAUUUUCUCAAUGGGAAAAAACUGGAACAACGCCUGAUUUCAAGGAACGCUGUUAGACAUAUAUGUUAUGUGAUAAUCUCUAUCGUAUAUUAUUGAAAUAGGAAAAUCAUUUUAUAUUUUUGAUCAAUAUAUUUUCACUGGCUA